GGGGCAUUAGCUAAGCUGGCUACAGCACUUCCCUCUUAAGGAAGAUAUCAUCGGUUCGAAUCCGGUAUGCCCUACCA
This 77-nucleotide transfer RNA is filed under the name Candidatus Omnitrophota bacterium. RNAcentral's name for it is "tRNA-Lys". It matches the Rfam family "tRNA". From Rfam's summary of the family: Transfer RNA (tRNA) molecules are approximately 80 nucleotides in length. The record is from RNAcentral. RNAcentral also lists the same sequence under 2 other names. Lineage: Bacteria; Pseudomonadati; Candidatus Omnitrophota.